Molecule: ribosomal RNA, 388 nt
Filed under: uncultured bacterium
Lineage: Bacteria
Description: bacterial SSU rRNA
Rfam family: Bacterial small subunit ribosomal RNA
Source: RNAcentral
GACGAACGCUGGCGGCGUGCUUAACACAUGCAAGUCGAGCGGUAAGGCCCUUUCGGGGGUACACGAGCGGCGAACGGGUGAGUAACACGUGGGUGACCUGCCCUCAGCUCUGGGAUAAGCUUGGGAAACCGGGUCUAAUACUGGAUAUGACUCCAUGACGCAUGUUGUGGGGUGGAAAGCCUUGUGCGGCUGAGGAUGGGCCCGCGGCCUAUCAGCUUGUUGGUGGGGUGANGGCCUACCAAGGCGACGACGGGUAGCCGGCCUGAGAGGGCGACCGGCCACACUGGGACUGAGACACGGCCCAGACUCCUACGGGAGGCAGCAGUGGGGAAUCUUGCGCAAUGGGCGAAAGCCUGACGCAGCGACGCCGCGUGAGGGAUGACGGCCU